AACGAACGCUGGCGGCAGGCUUAACACAUGCAAGUCGAACGCCCCGCAAGGGGAGUGGCAGACGGGUGAGUAACGCGUGGGAACAUACCCUUUUCUACGGAAUAGCUCUGGGAAACUGGAAUUAAUACCGUAUACGCCCUACGGGGGAAAGAUUUAUCGGGGAAGGAUUGGCCCGCGUUGGAUUAGCUAGUUGGUGGGGUAAAGGCCUACCAAGGCGACGAUCCAUAGCUGGUCUGAGAGGAUGAUCAGCCACAUUGGGACUGAGACACGGCCCAAACUCCUACGGGAGGCAGCAGUGGGGAAUAUUGGACAAUGGGCGCAAGCCUGAUCCAGCCAUGCCGCGUGAGUGAUGAAGGCCUUAGGGUUGUAAAGCUCUUUCACCGAUGAAGAUAAUGACGGUAGUCGGAGAAGAAGCCCCGGCUAACUUCGCG
RNAcentral lists this ribosomal RNA (431 nucleotides) under uncultured bacterium. RNAcentral's name for it is "partial 16S ribosomal RNA". It matches the Rfam family "Bacterial small subunit ribosomal RNA", at positions 29 to 507 of the family's 1533-position model. The record is from RNAcentral.